GCCUGGGUGGCUCAGUCGGUUGAGUGUCUGACUUAGGCUCAGGUCGUGAUCUCGUGAUUUGUAAGUUCGAGCCCCACUUUGGGUU
RNAcentral lists this transfer RNA (85 nucleotides) under Felis catus (domestic cat). It matches the Rfam family "tRNA". From Rfam's summary of the family: Transfer RNA (tRNA) molecules are approximately 80 nucleotides in length. Their secondary structure includes four short double-helical elements and three loops (D, anti-codon, and T loops). The record is from Rfam by way of RNAcentral. Lineage: Eukaryota; Metazoa; Chordata; Mammalia; Carnivora; Felidae.